AAGAGUAUAAGAUAUAUGAAUAACAGUUGUGUGCUAAAUAAAGGCAAUUAUUUGUAUUUCCGAAUCCAUUCUAUACCUUUAUACGUUGAUCAACAACAUUCGGUUUCAGUGCAAGACAGUAGUACCAGCAGCAAUUAAGAUGGAACUCCACGGCUUCUGUGAUGCCAGCGAGAAGGCCUACGGAGCCUGCGUCUAUCUCCGAACCAUUAGCUCCGACGGCACCAUUCAAAUCCAUUUGCUCACCGCGAAGUCAGAGGUCGCUCCACUCAAAACUCUGACCAUACCACGACUCAAACUGAGCAGAGCACUUCGUCUGGCUUCCUUGAUCUCAGUCCAGAAGGCUUUAACGAUCAAGAUCUCUCGGAUCGUAUUAGGUCGUCCCAUAAGUUUGUGCCGACCUUUGUGUAUACAUUUCAUAUUUUAAAGAAAAACAAUUAUCCAUACAGAAUAAUGAAAAAUGGGAAGAAGUUGUACAACGAGAGCGGGAUUACAUUUUUCAAAUGAAACUGAAAGUGGAUCAAACCAAGACCAUCCUCUCCGACUGGAGUCAUGUGCUCACGGCCGACAACCUAGCAGAUCUAUUCUCCCGAGGUCAGACGCCCUAGGAAUUCCAGCGCCCGAACAUUUGGAAAAAUGGACCAAGUGGCUUGAGUAGAAAGAAGAAAAUUGGCCGAUUGGAUCUCAACACCGCUGGGCGAAAUCCCGGAACAAAAAAAAGACGAUAGACGAUCUGCCUAGUCACGAACACCGUCGACCAUACUUUAUUAAAAAGAUAUUUGUCCUGAACAAAUCUCGUGUGUCGUCGGGCGGUGUCUUCAAUGGAGAUACAAACAAAUCGAGUUGUAUCUCUUACCGUAAACGAAUUAGCUUCGGUACAUAAAAAGUUGAUACGGAUACUUCAAGAUAUGUAUUUCUCGAAUGAAAUUUUACGCUCCAGAAGGACAGGGUCGAGGACAUCGGAGGGAAACUCCAACCCUUAAAUCCCUUCAUCGACAAGGAGGGGAUACUACGAAUCGAAGGGCGACCCAGUAACUCACCGAUGCCCUUCCAACAAAAACACCCCAUUAUUCUCCCGAAGUCGCUUGUGACGGAAACAGUCAUAGAACAGGAACACCGGAAAAACCAUCAUUCAGAGACACAGGCCACCUUAUACGCGGUCAGACAGCGCUACUGGCCUGUCGACGGUCGUAGUCAAGUAUGGCGCACCAUCAAAAGGUGCGUGUGACGGUGUCGAGCCAACCCACCAUCGGUAGAAUACCUGACGGGAGAUCUUCCAGAAGCACGUAUCACCGAGACGCGUCCCUUCACUAACAUCGGGAUCGAUUAUUGCGGCUCGUUCUAUAUCAAGGAAAGGAGGGAUCGCAAUCGACGAAAGGUUGAGGUUUACUUCGCCAUAUUCGUAUGUCUGGUGAUCAAAGCUGUUCACAUUGAAUUGGUGAGUGAUCUCACAACCGACGCAUUCCUUGCCGCCCUCCGCCGAAUCAUAUCUCGGCGAGGAUAUUGAGCGACAAUUCUGUCAGACAACGGUAUCAACUUCGUAGAAGCUAACAGAGGAUUGAAGGAACUCCGGAGCCUCUUGCAGUCCGACGACCAUGAAGAAAGGGUGCAGACCUUUCUAGCUGAUCGGCAAAUACAAUGGCGCUUCAAUCCUCCUUAUUCACCAAACAUUGGCGACUUAUGGAAAGCCGGUGAAAUCAUUUAAACGCCAUCUCAUCCGUAUCGUCGGCACGGAGCUCUUAACCUUCGAGCGUCUCAACACCCUUGUGAUUGAGAUAGAAGUGAUCCUCAACUCCCGUCCACUUACUCCGAUAACGUCUGAUUCAAAGGAUCUCCCUGUCCUCACUCCCGGCCACUUCCUAUUCGGCGAUACACUUAUUAAUAUACGCGACCGAGAUUUCAGGGCUACUCCAACAAGUCAGUUAUCCAGCUGGCAGCGUAUCAACCAACUCAAACAGCACUUCUGGAGCCGUUGGCACCGCGAAUAUCUUACCGAGUUGAUCAGCCGUAAUAAGUGGAACAAGGGCAACUACAAAAUACGCGAAAACAUCUUGCCAUUAUCAGGGAGAACAACGUUCCAUCAAUGCAGUGGACCUUAGGCCUCGUAAUCAAGGUCCACCCCGAGGCCGAUGGAAUAAUACGGACAGUUACCGUACAGACGUCAACGAGCAUCUUGGAUCGCGGCGUCAAACGACUGGUUCCCCUGCCUUGUCAACCAGAUCCAGACCAAGUCGAACAAUCCCGACGAGCGAAUGAAGUGUAGGAGAUAUGCAACUGACCCAUCACACAGAAUUUUGAUCGGUGCCCUCUCAACGGGGGGAGGAUGUUACGUCGCGCAAGACAUCUGCACUCCAUCCCGCGCGGCUUGACAGCCAACGGUCUACGUGCCGUCCUUUGAACCCUCAAUAGGCCCAAGGACCCACCAUAAAUUUGAACUCCUAAAUGUUCGCACAUAUGGUUUAAGUCAAUAUGUUUGCCCUAAAAGACUUUCGAAUCCUAGAAGUGUUUUCGGCUGGUUUUUAGAAAGGUCCUUGGGUUUAUUACGCACUCUUUAGAAUUACGGAGAAAGCGUGUAGUGGCCUCACGCAAAAAGCGGAGAUGUCUAACGGAAAAUCCGGGUUUUCCCUUAAACAAAGAAAUCAACUAGCAACAUUGGUUGGAGGUUCCGACCCCUCUCAUCACUUAUUAAUAUCGACUAAGCAAUGGACAUAGCAGAUCGUUGCCCUCACCUUACUAACGAAAAAUGUGAGCAACGAAUCCGUUUUCUUCACUCAAAAACCACACCUACACCGAGCUUUCCUCCGUAAUUGCAUGAGAGCAAAGCAUCAGUCUACUUCAUACAGUCAAAGUCUAGCCAUUCGGUCAGUCAAAGUCUGGUCUGUUCAGUUACCAUUUCUAUUACAACACGAGGGCCUUUAUCUAGAACUCUCGUUUACGCCCUUUAUAUCAUACGUAACGGUGUAACUCAUUGAUGUAAUAAGUGUUGGAAAUAUACAUUUUUAUAACCCUGUUA
Molecule: long non-coding RNA, 3010 nt
Organism: Bombus terrestris (buff-tailed bumblebee)
Lineage: Eukaryota; Metazoa; Arthropoda; Insecta; Hymenoptera; Apidae
Exons: 2
Source: RefSeq, a predicted model, not a curated record